RNAcentral lists this ribosomal RNA (274 nucleotides) under uncultured bacterium. RNAcentral's name for it is "partial 16S ribosomal RNA". It matches the Rfam family "Bacterial small subunit ribosomal RNA", at positions 644 to 916 of the family's 1533-position model. The record is from RNAcentral.
GAGAUCGGGAGAGGGAUGCGGAAUUCCAGGUGUAGCGGUGAAAUGCGUAGAUAUCUGGAGGAACACCGGUGGCGAAGGCGGCAUCCUGGACCGGCAUUGACGCUGAGGCGCGAAAGCCAGGGGAGCAAACGGGAUUAGAUACCCCGGUAGUCCUGGCCCUAAACGAUGAGUGCUUGGUGUGGCGGGUAUCGAUCCCUGCCGUGCCGAAGCUAACGCAUUAAGCACUCCGCCUGGGGAGUACGGUCGCAAGGCUAAAACUCAAAUGAAUUGACGG